This 301-nucleotide ribosomal RNA is filed under the name uncultured bacterium. RNAcentral's name for it is "partial 16S ribosomal RNA". It matches the Rfam family "Bacterial small subunit ribosomal RNA", at positions 509 to 807 of the family's 1533-position model. The record is from RNAcentral.
CAGUCGCCGCGGGAAUACGGAGGGGGCUAGCGUUGUUCGGAAUUACUGGGCGUAAAGCGCACGUAGGCGGCUUUGUAAGUCAGAGGUGAAAGCCUGGAGCUCAACUCCAGAAUUGCCUUUGAGACUGCAUCGCUUGAACGUCGGAGAGGUGAGUGGAAUUCCGAGUGUAGAGGUGAAAUUCGUAGAUAUUCGGAAGAACACCAGUGGCGAAGGCGGCUCACUGGACGACUGUUGACGCUGAGGUGCGAAAGCGUGGGGAGCAAACAGGAUUAGAUACCCCAGUAGUCCCUGUCUCUUAUAC